CUCAAUCUCUCCAGUUUACAGCGUGAAUCCUUCAGUACGACACAUAAGUGAUUCAGUCCUGUGUUUUUUAUUUGAUUCACGCUCAGGUUCAGUUCUCUCAGGUGUGAUGGGUUUGAUUUCAGAGCUGAAGUCAGGAUGAGACACUGUUUCUCUGUAAUACUGCA
This is a long non-coding RNA of Carassius gibelio (silver crucian carp), 164 nucleotides long. RefSeq lists it as uncharacterized. NCBI's taxonomy places the organism in Eukaryota, Metazoa, Chordata, Actinopteri, Cypriniformes, Cyprinidae. The record is from RefSeq and is a predicted model, not a curated record. The transcript has 2 exons.